UACGUGAAACCGUUCAGGGGUAAACCUGAGAAACCCGAAAGGUCGAAAGGGGAGAUUCAGCGUGUCUCGACUGCGGCGCUGGGCGGUCGCGUGACGGACGACGUACGCGUUGUCCGCACCCUCUGUCCUCCGAACUGCGGUCGAACGCGUGCACUUCUCCCCCUGUAGGACGUCGCGAUCCGUUGGGCGCAGGCCUAAGGCCCGCGGUGGAGCCCGUCUGGAUACGGCUUAAGCCCCGUUCCGGACGAACCCGCGGUGUUUCCCGGCCUGCUCGCUCGACGGUAUACAGAUGGCGCGGGGCCGCUAUCCAUUUGAGUUAGCGUCCGACCCGCGGCAAGCGCGCCCGUCGUGUUGGUGAUCGGACCUGGUGCCGGUCCCGACCGCGGGUGGCUGUUCGCUGCGGUGUUCUCGGACAGACCUCGAUGAAACGCCGAUCUGCGACGCUAUAGCUUUGGGUACUUUCAGGACCCGUCUUGAAACACGGACCAAGGAGUCUAGCAUGUGCGCGAGUCAUUGGGAUCACAAUAGACCUAAAGGCGCAAUGAAAGUGAAGGCCCGCCUUGCGCGGGCCAAGGGAGGAUGGGUGAAGGUUUCGGCCGACGCCCCGCACUCCCGGGGCGUCUCGUUCUCAUUGCGAGAAGAGGCGCACCAAGAGCGUACACGCUGGGACCCGAAAGAUGGUGAACUAUGCCUGGUCAGGACGAAGUCA
RNAcentral lists this ribosomal RNA (709 nucleotides) under Coleoptera sp. NZAC 03009347. RNAcentral's name for it is "eukaryotic LSU rRNA". It matches the Rfam family "Eukaryotic large subunit ribosomal RNA", at positions 396 to 854 of the family's 3401-position model. Lineage: Eukaryota; Metazoa; Arthropoda; Insecta; Coleoptera. The record is from RNAcentral.